ACGGGAGGCAGCAGUGGGGAAUAUUGGACAAUGGGGGAAACCCUGAUCCAGCGACGCCGCGUGAGCGAAGAAGUAUUUCGGUAUGUAAAGCUCUAUCAGCAGGGAAGAUAAUGACGGUACCUGACUAAGAAGCCCCGGCUAACUACGUGCCAGCAGCCGCGGUAAUACGUAGGGGGCAAGCGUUAUCCGGAUUUACUGGGUGUAAAGGGAGCGUAGACGGAAGGCCAAGUCUGAUGUGAAAACCCGGGGCUCAACCCCGGGACUGCAUUGGAAACUGGUCAUCUAGAGGGCAGGAGGGGUAAGUGGAAUUCCUAGUGUAGCGGUGAAAUGCGUAGAUAUUAGGAGGAACACCAGUGGCGAAGGCGGCUUACUGGACUGUAACUGACGUUGAGGCUCGAAAGCGUGGGGAGCAAACAGGAUUAGAUACCCUGGUA
Molecule: ribosomal RNA, 434 nt
Filed under: uncultured Lachnospiraceae bacterium
Lineage: Bacteria; Bacillati; Bacillota; Clostridia; Lachnospirales; Lachnospiraceae
Description: partial 16S ribosomal RNA
Rfam family: Bacterial small subunit ribosomal RNA
Source: RNAcentral